RNAcentral lists this ribosomal RNA (448 nucleotides) under uncultured bacterium. Its description in RNAcentral is "partial 16S ribosomal RNA". It matches the Rfam family "Bacterial small subunit ribosomal RNA", at positions 29 to 523 of the family's 1533-position model. The record is from RNAcentral.
AACGAACGCUGGCGGCAUGCCUAACACAUGCAAGUCGAACGAGAUCUUCGGGUCUAGUGGCGCACGGGUGCGUAACGCGUGGGAAUCUGCCCUUUGGUUCGGAAUAACAGUUGGAAACGACUGCUAAUACCGGAUGAUGACGAAAGUCCAAAGAUUUAUCGCCAGAGGAUGAGCCCGCGUAGGAUUAGCUAGUUGGUGUGGUAAAGGCGCACCAAGGCGACGAUCCUUAGCUGGUCUGAGAGGAUGAUCAGCCACACUGGGACUGAGACACGGCCCAGACUCCUACGAGAGGCAGCAGUGGGGAACAUUGGACAAUGGGCGAAAGCCUGAUCCAGCAAUGCCGCGUGAGUGAUGAAGGCCUUGGGUUGUAAAGCUCUUUUACCCGGGAUGAUAAUGACAGUACCGGGAGAAUAAGCUCCGGCUAACUCCGUGCCAGCCGCCGCGGUAA